GGGCCCGCACAAGCGGUGGAGUAUGUGGUUUAAUUCGAUGCAACGCGAAGAACCUUACCAGGGUUUGACAUCCUGCGAAUCUCUUGGAAACAGGAGAGUGCCUUCGGGAACGCAGUGACAGGUGGUGCAUGGCUGUCGUCAGCUCGUGUCGUGAGAUGUUCCGUUAAGUCGGAUAACGAGCGCAACCCUUACCCUUAUUUGCCAGCGAUUCGGUCGGGAACUAUAAGGGGACUGCCGGUGAUAAACCGGAGGAAGGUGAGGACGACGUCAAGUCAUCAUGGCCCUUACGAGUAGGGCUACACACGUGCUACAAUGGCAUUUACAGAGGGAAGCGAGACAGUGAUGUGGAGCGGACCCCCUUAAAGAAUGUCGU
RNAcentral lists this ribosomal RNA (373 nucleotides) under uncultured bacterium. Its description in RNAcentral is "bacterial SSU rRNA". It matches the Rfam family "Bacterial small subunit ribosomal RNA", at positions 917 to 1289 of the family's 1533-position model. The record is from RNAcentral.